Molecule: non-coding RNA, 140 nt
Organism: Caerostris extrusa
Lineage: Eukaryota; Metazoa; Arthropoda; Arachnida; Araneae; Araneidae
Source: the annotation of a GenBank genome assembly
ACGGCCAUACCAUGCUGAAUAUACCGGUUCUCGAUCACCGAAUCAUAUUCUCGAUCACCGAUCUAGAUCAUCGAAGUCAAGCAUCAUUGGGCGCGGUCAGUACUUGGGUGGGUGACCACCUGGGAACACCGCGUGCCGUU